GACGAACGCUGGCGGCGUGCUUAACACAUGCAAGUCGAACGGAAAGGCCCUGCUUUUGUGGGGUGCUCGAGUGGCGAACGGGUGAGUAACACGUGAGUAACCUGCCCUUGACUUUGGGAUAACUUCAGGAAACUGGGGCUAAUACCGGAUAGGAGCUCCUGCUGCAUGGUGGGGGUUGGAAAGUUUCGGCGGUUGGGGAUGGACUCGCGGCUUAUCGGCUUGUUGGUGGGGUAGUGGCUUACCAAGGCUUUGACGGGUAGCCGGCCUGAGAGGGUGACCGGACACAUUGGGACUGAGAUAAGGCCCAGACUCCUACGGGAGGCAGCAGUGGGGAAUAUUGCACAAUGGGCGGAAGCCUGAUGCAGCAACGCCGCGUGCGGGAUGAUGGCCUUCGGGUUGUAAACCGCUUUCGCCUGUGACGAAGCGUGAGUGACGGUAAUGGGUAAAGAAGCACCGGCUAACUACGUG
This 468-nucleotide ribosomal RNA is filed under the name uncultured bacterium. RNAcentral's name for it is "partial 16S ribosomal RNA". It matches the Rfam family "Bacterial small subunit ribosomal RNA", at positions 28 to 507 of the family's 1533-position model. The record is from RNAcentral.